This 255-nucleotide ribosomal RNA is filed under the name uncultured bacterium. RNAcentral's name for it is "partial 16S ribosomal RNA". It matches the Rfam family "Bacterial small subunit ribosomal RNA", at positions 524 to 776 of the family's 1533-position model. The record is from RNAcentral.
UACGGAGGGUGCAAGCGUUAUCCGGAUUUACUGGGUUUAAAGGGUGCGUAGGUGGGUCUGUAAGUCCGUGGUGAAAUCUCCGAGCUUAACUUGGAAACUGCCAUGGAUACUAUAGGUCUUGAAUACUGUGGAGGUCAGCGGAAUAUGUCAUGUAGCGGUGAAAUGCUUAGAUAUGACAUAGAACACCAAUUGCGAAGGCAGCUGGCUACACAAAUAUUGACACUGAUGCACGAAAAGCGUGGGGGAUCAAACAGG